Molecule: non-coding RNA, 89 nt
Filed under: pig gut metagenome
Description: TPP riboswitch (THI element)
Rfam family: TPP riboswitch aptamer (THI element)
About the family: Vitamin B(1) in its active form thiamin pyrophosphate (TPP) is an essential coenzyme that is synthesised by coupling of pyrimidine and thiazole moieties in bacteria. The previously detected thiamin-regulatory element, thi box was extended, resulting in a new, highly conserved RNA secondary structure, the THI element, which is widely distributed in eubacteria and also occurs in some archaea.
Source: RNAcentral
UACUGGGGAGCUUGGACAACAGGCUGAGAGGAAGGUGUGGCCUUCGACCCGUGAACCUGAUUUGGAUAAUGCCAACGUAGGGAUGUGCG